RNAcentral lists this ribosomal RNA (449 nucleotides) under uncultured bacterium. Its description in RNAcentral is "SSU rRNA". It matches the Rfam family "Bacterial small subunit ribosomal RNA", at positions 26 to 518 of the family's 1533-position model. The record is from RNAcentral.
AGAACGAACGCUGGCGGCAGGCUUAACACAUGCAAGUCGAACGCUCAUAGCAAUAUGGGAGUGGCGCACGGGUGAGUAACACGUGGGAACAUGCCUUUUAGUUUGGGAUAACCACUGGAAACGGUGGCUAAUACCAGAUACGCCCUCAGGGGGAAAGAUUUAUCGCUAAAAAGAUUGGCCCGCGUUAGAUUAGGUAGUUGGUGGGGUAAUGGCCUACCAAGCCUACGAUCUAUAGCUGGUCUGAGAGGACGACCAGCCACACUGGAACUGAGACACGGUCCAGACUCCUACGGGAGGCAGCAGUGGGGAAUAUUGGACAAUGGGCGCAAGCCUGAUCCAGCCAUGCCGCGUGAGUGAUGAAGGCCUUAGGGUUGUAAAGCUCUUUUGUGAGGGAAGAUAAUGACGGUACCUCAAGAAUAAGCACCGGCUAACUUCGCGCCAGCAGCCGC